GACGAACGCUGGCGGCGUGCUUAACACAUGCAAGUCGAACGAAGAGCGAUGGAAGCUUGCUUCUAUCAAUCUUAGUGGCGAACGGGUGAGUAACGCGUAAUCAACCUGCCCUUCAGAGGGGGACAACAGUUGGAAACGACAGCUAAUACCGCAUACGAUCUAAUCUCGGCAUCGAGGAUAGAUGAAAGGUGGCCUCUACAUGUAAGCUAUCACUGAAGGAGGGGAUUGCGUCUGAUUAGCUAGUUGGAGGGGUAACGGCCCACCAAGGCGAUGAUCAGUAGCCGGUCUGAGAGGAUGAACGGCCACAUUGGGACUGAGACACGGCCCAGACUCCUACGGGAGGCAGCAGUGGGGAAUCUUCCGCAAUGGACGAAAGUCUGACGGAGCAACGCCGCGUGAGUGAUGACGGCCUUCGGGUUGUAAAGCUCUGUUAAUCGGGACGAAAGGCCUUCUUGCGAAUAGUGAGAAGGAUUGACGGUACCGGAAUAGAAAGCCACGGCUAACUACGUG
Molecule: ribosomal RNA, 510 nt
Filed under: uncultured bacterium
Lineage: Bacteria
Description: partial 16S ribosomal RNA
Rfam family: Bacterial small subunit ribosomal RNA
Source: RNAcentral